AGAGCGAACGCUGGCGGCAGGCUUAACACAUGCAAGUCGAGCGCCCCGCAAGGGGAGCGGCAGACGGGUGAGUAACGCGUGGGAACGUACCUUUUGGUUCGGAACAACACAGGGAAACUUGUGCUAAUACCGGAUAAGCCCUUACGGGGAAAGAUUUAUCGCCGAAAGAUCGGCCCGCGUCUGAUUAGCUAGUUGGUGAGGUAACGGCUCACCAAGGCGACGAUCAGUAGCUGGUCUGAGAGGAUGAUCAGCCACAUUGGGACUGAGACACGGCCCAAACUCCUACGGGAGGCAGCAGUGGGGAAUAUUGGACAAUGGGCGCAAGCCUGAUCCAGCCAUGCCGCGUGAGUGAUGAAGGCCCUAGGGUUGUAAAGCUUCUUUUAACGGGGAAGAUAAUGACGGUACCCGUAGAAUAAGCCCGGCUAACUUCGCGCCAGCAGCCGC
This 444-nucleotide ribosomal RNA is filed under the name uncultured bacterium. RNAcentral's name for it is "SSU rRNA". It matches the Rfam family "Bacterial small subunit ribosomal RNA", at positions 26 to 518 of the family's 1533-position model. The record is from RNAcentral.